ACAAGAACUCCUAAUUAAAUUCAUCUUUGAUUUCUUGUUGUUAAAUAAUACAAUGUGGAAAGGUCCAAGGGGGUGAAUACUUUGAUACCUUCAUUGAUGUUGUUGUUGACUUGUUUCAACCUGUUUACUUGCAGAUAUUCUCAUUCAUCAGCUGGAUUUAAUUUACACAAAGAGAGUUCCAGACUUUCAAACCAGCUUAGGACAUGCAGUCGAUGUGACUCUGGACUCUGAUUCAGCACACAAACACCUUAUUCUGUCAGACGACAUGAAAGAAGUGAGAUACAGAUGGAAGUCUUUUAAACUCCCUGUUGACCCAAAGAGGUUUAAUGAACGUCCCUGUGUCCUGGGAAACCAGGGCUUUAAGUCCCAGAGUUUCUACUAUGAGGUGGAGGUGAAGCUGGUUGGGAG
Molecule: long non-coding RNA, 408 nt
Organism: Esox lucius (northern pike)
Lineage: Eukaryota; Metazoa; Chordata; Actinopteri; Esociformes; Esocidae
Exons: 4
Source: RefSeq, a predicted model, not a curated record